Jaculus jaculus (lesser Egyptian jerboa) is the source of this 163-nucleotide small nuclear RNA. Its record names the gene U1. It matches the Rfam family "U1 spliceosomal RNA". From Rfam's summary of the family: U1 is a small nuclear RNA (snRNA) component of the spliceosome (involved in pre-mRNA splicing). Its 5' end forms complementary base pairs with the 5' splice junction, thus defining the 5' donor site of an intron. There are significant differences in sequence and secondary structure between metazoan and yeast U1 snRNAs, the latter being much longer (568 nucleotides as compared to 164 nucleotides in human). NCBI's taxonomy places the organism in Eukaryota, Metazoa, Chordata, Mammalia, Rodentia, Dipodidae. The record is from Ensembl.
AUGCUUACCUGGCGGGGAGAUGCUGUGAUCACGAAGGUGGUUUUCCCAGGGCGCAGUUUAUCCAUUGCACUCCCAAUGUGCUGACACCUGCUAUUUCCCCAAAUGCGGGAAACUUGACUGCAUAAUUUGUGAUAGUGGGGGACUGCCUCCACGCUCACCCCUG